GCCAAGAUGGCCGAGUGGUUAAGGCGCUGCACUCAAGACUCUGUCUUAGCCAGUCAACUGGAAAUAUUGCAGUAUCGAAAGAUGCUUGGGUUCGAAUCCCAAUCUUGGCA
Molecule: non-coding RNA, 110 nt
Organism: Fusarium tricinctum
Lineage: Eukaryota; Fungi; Ascomycota; Sordariomycetes; Hypocreales; Nectriaceae
Source: the annotation of a GenBank genome assembly